Symphalangus syndactylus (siamang) is the source of this 4676-nucleotide RNA transcript. It is a transcript of the gene named HscB mitochondrial iron-sulfur cluster cochaperone, with no coding region annotated. The record is from RefSeq and is a predicted model, not a curated record. NCBI's taxonomy places the organism in Eukaryota, Metazoa, Chordata, Mammalia, Primates, Hylobatidae.
CAAUCAGCAGCAUUAGUCUUGUUGGACGCUCUCUUUGCUUUUCCCCACGAGUGACCACGGCUAGAUAGGCCGCCGGCCAGAUGUGGCGGGGGAGAGCCGGAGCUUUGCUCCGGGUGUGGGGGUUUUGGCCGACAGGGGUUCCCAGAAGGAGACCGCUAAGCUGUGAUGCUGCGUCGCAGGCGGGAAGCAAUUCUCCCCGCUGUUGGAACUGCGGCGGCCCAUGGGGCCCCAGGCGGGAGGACAGGUUUUUCUGCCCACAGUGCCGAGCGCUGCAGGCACCUGACCCCACUCGAGACUACUUCAACCUUAUGGACUGCAACCGUUCCUUCAGAGUUGAUACUGCGAAGCUCCAGCACAGGUACCAGCAACUGCAGCGUCUUGUCCACCCAGAUUUCUUCAGCCAGAGGUCUCAGACUGAAAAGGACUUCUCAGAGAAGCAUUCGACCCUGGUGAAUGAUGCCUAUAAGACCCUCCUGGCCCCACUGAGCAGAGGACUGUACCUUCUAAAGCUCCAUGGAGUAGAGAUUCCUGAAGGGACAGAUUAUGAAAUGGACAGGCAAUUCCUUAUGGAAAUAAUGGAAAUCAAUGAAAAACUCGCAGAAGCCGAAAGUGAAGCUGCCAUGAAAGAGAUUGAAUCCAUUGUCAGAGGUGAAAGAUAAAAUAGCACCGAAUGUAUUUCAUUGCUGUUAUGAACACUUGUCCAAGGAUAACUGAAAAAUGAACAUAGAGUAUAUAAUGGCCCGGGCACAGUGGCUCACGCCUAUAAUCCCAGCACUUUGGGAGGCCAAGGCAAGUGGAUCACCUGAGGUUAGGAGUUCAAGACCAGCCUGGCCAACAUGGUGAAACCCUGUCUCUACUGAAGAUACAAAAAUUAGCCGGGCGUGGUGGCGGGCACCUGUAGUCCCAGCUACUUGGGAGGCUGAGGCAGGAGAAUGGUGUGAACCCGGGAGGCAGAGCUUGCAGUGAGCAGAGUCAGGCCACUGCACUCCAGCCUGGGCGACAGAGCGAGACUCCGUCUAAACAAAAAAAAAAAAAAGUUACUUAUUUUAAGGAAUUAGCUCACAUAAUUGUGGGAGCUGACACAUCUAAAAUCUAUAGGGUAGGGCUGGGCGCAGUGGCUCAUGCCUGUGAUCCCAGCAUUUUGGGAGGCCGAGGAGGGCAGAUCACUUGAGUCCAGGAGUUCAAUACCAACCUGGGCAACGUGGCGAAACCCCAUCUCUAAAAAAAUACAGAAAAAUCAGCCAAGCAUAGGCCAGGCACAGUGGCUUACGCCUGUAAUCCCAGGACUUUGGGAGGCCGAGGUGGGUGGAUCACCUGAGGUUGGGAGUUCGAGACCAGCCAGGCCAACAUGGAGAAACCCCAUCUCUACUAAAAGUAUAAAAUUAGCCAGGCAUGGUGGUGCAUGCCUGUAAUCCCAACUACUCGGGAGGCUGAAGCAGGAGAAUCGCUUGAGCUUGGGAGGCAGAGCUUGCAGUGAGCCGAGAUCGUGCCACUGCACUCCAGCCUGGACGACAGAGUGAGACUCCGUCUCAAAAAAAAAAAAAAAAAAAAUCAGCCAAGCGUGGAGGUGCGCACUUGUGGUCCCAGCUAUUCGGGAGGAUGAGGUGGGAGAAUCAUCUGAGCCCGGGAGGCAGAGGUUGCAGUGAGCUGAGAUCACACCACUGUACUCCAGCCUGAGUGAGAGAGUGAGACCCUGUCACAAAAUAAAUAAAAUCUAUAAGGGUAGAUAAGCAGGCUGAAAGUCUAGGCAGGAUUUCUAUGUUACAGUCUUGAUACAGAAUUCCUUCCCAGAAAACCUGUUUUUGCACUUAAUGCCUCUACUUGAUUGGAAGAGGCCCACCCAUAUUAUGUAGGGUAACAUCCGUUACUUAAAGUCAACUGAUUAUAAUAUUAAUCACAUCUACGAAUACCUUCACAGGAUCAUCUAAACUAGUUGAUUUUUGUUUUUUUGAGACAUGAUCUCACUCUGUCACCCAGGCUGGAGCACAGCAGUGCAGUACAGCGGACUGCAGCCUCGACCCAUGGGCUCAAGCAAUCCUCUCACCUCAGCCUCUUGGAUAGCUGGGACUACAGGCGUGCAUCACCACGCCUGGCUAAUUUUUUGUGUCUUUUAUAGAGAUGGGGUUUCGCCAUGUUGCCCAGGCUGGCUUCAAACUCCUAGGUUCAAAGCAAUUCACCUGCCUCAGUCUCCCAAAGUGCUGGGAUUACAGGCAUGACUCAAUGUGCCUGGCAUAGAUUCGUGUUUGAUCAAACAACUGGGCACCAUAGCCUAGCCAAGUUGACACAUAACCAUUCCACAAAGAAAAGAUUCCAAGGUUCUCUAUUAGACUAUAUUCAGUUAUGUACUUUCACAAAUAUCUGAAGCGUACCUACAAAUAUCAGGCACUGUGCAUGACACUGAGGAUACAGCAUGGAACAAGAAAGACUGUGCUGUGCCUUCUUGGAGUUAAUAUAUGUCAACUGUGCCCAAAAUGAAAUUCCCAGGUGUCUCCCCUCCCCACCUUUCCCCGAAAAAAAAAUCUGUUCCUCAGGCUGGGUGCAGUGGCUCACGCCUAUAAUCCCAGCACUUUGGGAGGCCAGGGCAGGCGGAUCACGAGGUCAGGAGAUCAAGACCAUCCUGGCUAACAUGAUGAAACCCCGUCUCUACUAAAAAUACAAAAAAUUAGCCGAGAGUGUUGGCACACGCCUGUAGUCCCAGCUACUCGGGAGGCUGAGGCAGUAGAAUUGCUUGAACCCAGGAGGUGGAGAUUGCAGUGAGCCAAGAUCAUGCCACUGCACUCCAGCCUGGGUGACAGAGCGAGACUCUGAAUAAAAAAUAAUAAUAAUCUGUUCCUCUUCCAGUGUUCCCUAAGAGAAUGACACCAGUUGCACAAGUGUAAAUUUUGAGGAGGCCUUAACAACCUUAUUCUUCCUUAUGCCUAUAGUCAAUCUAUUACAUCUGAAAGAGCUGACUUAAAUUUGCCUCAAAUUCAUCCACCUAUCUCUACUUUCACUGCCACCAGCCUUUUCCAAGCUACCAUUCACUCUCACCUGGACAACUGCAGUAGCUUUUCACUGGUCUGUCUGUACCUUCAGGCCCCAUCUAACAAAUGCCUUCACUGUCACUGGAAUCUUUUUGAAACCCAAGUCUUUUUUUUUUUUUUUUGAGACAGAGUCUUGCUCUGUUGCCUAGGCUGGAGCGCAGUGGCAUGAUCUCGGCUCACUGCAACCUCCACCUCCCAGGUUCAAGCUAUUCUCCUGCCUCUGCCUCUGCCUCCCGAGUAGCUGGGACUGCAGGUGCGUGCCACCGUGCUUGGGUAAUUUGUCUAUUUUUUUAAGUAGUGACGGAGUUUUACCAUGUUGCCCAGGCUGGUCUCAAACUCUUGACCUCAGGUGAUUAUCCAUCUCAGCCUCCCAAAGUGCUGGGAUUACAGGUGUGAGCCACCAAGCCCAGCCAAAACCCAAAUCUAAUCACUACUCUUGACCUUAUUUAAAUUGACCAGGUGUGAUGGCUUACGCCUGUAAUCUAAGCACUUUGGGAGGCUGAAGUGGAAGGAUCACUUGAGCUCAGGAGUUCAAGACUAGCCUGGUCAACACAGCAAGACCCCAUCUCCAUAAAAAAUUUAAAAAUUAACCAGAUGUGGUGGCGCAUGCCUGUAGUCCCAGCUACUCGAGAGGCCGAGGCAAAAGGAUCACUUGAGCCCAGGAGGUGGAGACUGCAGCGAACCGUGUUUGCACCAUUGCACUCCAGCUUCAGCAACAGAGCGAAAACACGCCUCAAAAAAAAAAAGAAAAAACUUUUAAGUGGCUUCUCACUGCUCUAAAACUCUUUAGCAUCCCUUACAGGGCCGUUGCUGUGGCCUCUGCUUCUCUCUGUUCUGCCUUCUCCACUCCAGCCACAAUGACCACUUCCAGUUCCUUAUCUAUAUACUGGGCACCCUCCUACCCUAGGGCCUGUUGCUUCUGCCUGAAACCCUCUUCUCCUCCACCCCAUUUAAGUUAACCCCUCCUUCUUCAGAUCUGAAGGCAAUCAUUACUUCCUCAGAGAAGCCUUUUUUAAGCUAUCUAUUAGUAGUGGCUAUUUCUUUUGUAGGACUGAUCACAGUUAUAUCUUUACUGUUCUAUGUGACAUUAAUUGAUCAAUAUCAGCCUCCCUCAUUAGACUGGAAGUUCUGCAGAAGGAGAAAUCAUGUCUACUUUUUGCUUCCCUCACAUCCUCAGCUCACAGAAAAGUACUUAUAGUUUAAAAGGAACUUGCCAUGUUAUAACCUUGGUGAUUGCUCCUCAGACCUUUCAUGGGUAGAAAAACAGUGUUAUUAGGGUCAACCAGAGUUGUGCUAAACAGCAGCUGCCAUCGUGGUACACACAGAGACAAAGGUUAUGAAGCCUUACCUUGAAUACAAACUUCCUCUUUUGUUGUGUUCAAACCAGCAUGACUACAAAGUGUAAGUAUUGUCUUUGUAUUAUGAGUCUAUUUCAGUGGAAAAAUUAACAGAAUGGUUUUCUUUUUCAGCUAAACAGAAAGAAUUUGCUGACAAUGUGAGCAGUGCUUUUGAACAAGAUGACUUUGAAGAAGCCAAGGAAAUUUUGACAAAGAUGAGAUACUUUUCAAAUAUAGAAGAAAAGAUCAAGUUAAAGAAGAUUCCCCUUUAAUUGUUGAUAGUUUAAAGUUUAAAAAAUAAAGUUCUUGCUGGGCA